RNAcentral lists this ribosomal RNA (549 nucleotides) under uncultured bacterium. RNAcentral describes it as "bacterial SSU rRNA". It matches the Rfam family "Bacterial small subunit ribosomal RNA", at positions 356 to 896 of the family's 1533-position model. The record is from RNAcentral.
GGGGAAUCUUCCGCAAUGGACGAAAGUCUGACGGAGCAACGCCGCGUGAGUGAUGACGGCCUUCGGGUUGUAAAGCUCUGUUAAUCGGGACGAAUGGUUCUUGUGCGAAUAGUGCGAGGAUUUGACGGUACCGGAAUAGGAAGCCACGGCUAACUACGUGCCAGCAGCCGCGGUAAUACGUAGGUGGCAAGCGUUGUCCGGAAUUAUUGGGCGUAAAGCGCGCGCAGGCGGAUUGGUCAGUCUGUCUUAAAAGUUCGGGGCUUAACCCCGUGAUGGGAUGGAAACUGCCAAUCUAGAGUAUCGGAGAGGAAAGUGGAAUUCCUAGUGUAGCGGUGAAAUGCGUAGAUAUUAGGAAGAACACCAGUGGCGAAGGCGACUUUCUGGACGAAAACUGACGCUGAGGCGCGAAAGCCAGGGGAGCGAACGGGAUUAGAUACCCCGGUAGUCCUGGCCGUAAACGAUGGGUACUAGGUGUAGGAGGUAUCGACCCCUUCUGUGCCGGAGUUAACGCAAUAAGUACCCCGCCUGGGGAGUACGACCGCAAGGUUG